AAUGCGAUAAGUAAUGUGAAUUGCAGAAUUCAGUGAAUCAUCGAAUCUUUGAACGCACCUUGCGCUCCUUGGUAUUCCUUGAAGCAUGCCUGUUUGAGUAUCAUGAAAUCUUCAAAGUAAAUCUUUUGUUAACUCAAUUGGUUUCUACUUUGGUAUUGGAGGUCUUUGCAGCUUCACACCUGCUCCUCUUUGUUCAUUAGCUGGAUCUCAGUGUUAUGCUUGGUUCCACUCGGCGUGAUAAGUUAUCUAUCGCUGAGGACACUGUAAAAGGUGGCCAAGGUAAAUGCAGAUGAACCGCUUCUAAUAGUCCAUUGACUUGGACAAUACUUUUAUGAUCUGAUCUCAAAUCAGGUAGGACUACCCGCUGAACUUAAGC
This 376-nucleotide unclassified non-coding RNA is filed under the name plant metagenome. RNAcentral's name for it is "partial contains 5.8S ribosomal RNA, internal transcribed spacer 2, and large subunit ribosomal RNA". The stretch from base 1 to 103 matches the Rfam family "5.8S ribosomal RNA", at positions 52 to 154 of the family's 154-position model. The record is from RNAcentral.